Anoplophora glabripennis (Asian longhorned beetle) is the source of this 1236-nucleotide non-coding RNA. NCBI's taxonomy places the organism in Eukaryota, Metazoa, Arthropoda, Insecta, Coleoptera, Cerambycidae. The record is from the annotation of a RefSeq genome assembly.
UAAAAAUAUUAUUUUUAAUUAAAAAUUAAAUUAAAUUAAAAAAUAAAAUUAUUUUUUAGUAAAUCUGGGAAAAAAUUAUGUUAAUAAUAGGUUAUUAGUAUUGAGAAAGAGUUAUUAUUAAAAUUUUAAAAGAAGAAGAAAAUUUUGUACCUUGUGUAUCAGGGUUGAUUAAAUAAAAUUUAGAUAAUAUUUUCUCGAAUUUAAAAGAGCUAAAAUAAUAUAAUUUUAUUGUAGAAUAAAUAUUUAUAAUAUUAUUUUUGAAAUGAAACGUUACACGUUUUUAAUAUAUCUAGUUAUUUAAGAAAAAAAUUAAAUUUUAUUGUUAAUAAUAUAUAAUUAAUUUUAUAAUUAUAUAUUAAUAAUAUUAAAUUUAUAAAGGGAUAAGCUUUUAUAAAAAUUUUUAAAAGUUUUUAUUUUUAUAAAAAAUUAUAGGAUUAGUAGUUUCUAUUAUUAAAAUAAUGUUAUAGUUAAUUUUAUUUAAUUAUUAUUUAUAUAAAUUUUAAAUAGUUUAUUAAAUUAAAAAUUAUAAUUAAAUUAAGUUUUGAAAUAAUGAUAAAAUUAGUAGGAUUUUAUAUAAAAUAUAUAAAAGAUUAAGGUUAAUUAAGGGAAUUCGGCAAUAGAUUUUUUACCUGUUUAUUAAAAACAUGGCUUUUUGAUAAUAAUUAAAGGUCUGACCUGCCCACUGAGGAGUUUAAAGGCCGCGGUAAAUUGCCCGUGCUAAGGUAGCAUAAUCAUUAGUUUUUUAAUUGAAAGCUGGAAUGAAUGGUUGGAUAAGAAAAANAACUGUCUCUAUUUAAUUUAUAAUGAAUUUUAUUUUUAAGUAAAAAAGCUUAAAUUAUUUUAAAAGACGAGAAGACCCUAUAGAGUUUUAUAAAGUUUAAAUUUUAAUUUUUUUAGUAUUAUUAUUUUGUAAUUGAAAUUUUAUUUGAUUGGGGCGAUUGAAAAAUUUAAUUAACUUUUUUUAUAUAUUUACAUAAAUUUAUGAUAAAUUGAUCCAUAAAUAAUGAUUAAAAGAUUAAAUUACCUUAGGGAUAACAGCGUAAUUUUUUUUGAGAGUUCUAAUCGAAAAAAAAGUUUGCGACCUCGAUGUUGGAUUAAAAUUAAUUUUUGGUGUAGAAGCUAAGAAUUUUAGGUCUGUUCGACCUUUAAAAUUUUACAUGAUCUAAGUUUAAACCGGUGUGAGCCAGGUUGGUUUUUAUCUUUAAAUGAAUAAUAUAUUUUAGUACGAAAGGAUCA